Molecule: long non-coding RNA, 238 nt
Filed under: Setaria italica (foxtail millet)
Lineage: Eukaryota; Viridiplantae; Streptophyta; Magnoliopsida; Poales; Poaceae
Description: long non-coding RNA (SITA_LNC002880)
Source: RNAcentral
AGUGAAGCGGCAGUGCCCGGCCGGCCAUCCAUACCUGCGUUCCUCGUGCAGCUAGUGUGGCUACGAGAAGAAAACGGAGAAGGAAAAGGGUGGUGCUCGGCAAGGACCACAACCUGGAUCAGCAUUCAGCAGAUGGGUGAAAUUGGACGGUGGAGACGCGUCUCCACGAAAAGGCGCCGUCUGUUGCCACGCAGUGCUGACAAAUACUCCCUCCGUUCUAAAUAUCUAUAAAUCUAAA